AUGAACGCUGGCGGCGUGGAUAAGGCAUGCAAGUCAAACGGAACAUGUUAAUUUAAUAUGUUUAGUGGCAGACGGGGUAGUAACACGUAGGAACUCACCCCAGAGACGGGUAUAAUCCGGCGAAAGCCGGACUAAUCCCCGAUAGUUCCCGAAAGGGUAAAGGCAGCAAUGCGCUCUGGGAGAGGCCUGCGGGCUAUCAGCUAGUUGGCGGGGUAAUGGCCCACCAAGGCUAUGACGGCUAGGGGGAGUGAGAGCUUGGCCCCCACCAAUGGAACUGCGACACGGUCCAUACACCUACGGGUGGCAGCAGCCGAGAAUAUUCGACAAUGGGCGAAAGCCUGAUCGAGCGACGCCGCGUGCAGGACGAAGUCCUUCGGGACGUAAACUGCUUUUUUAGGGGAGGAACGAAAGUGACUGUACCUUAAGAAUAAGGGCUUGCUAACCUCGU
This 448-nucleotide ribosomal RNA is filed under the name uncultured bacterium. RNAcentral describes it as "bacterial SSU rRNA". It matches the Rfam family "Bacterial small subunit ribosomal RNA", at positions 29 to 506 of the family's 1533-position model. The record is from RNAcentral.